Molecule: ribosomal RNA, 274 nt
Filed under: uncultured bacterium
Lineage: Bacteria
Description: partial 16S ribosomal RNA
Rfam family: Bacterial small subunit ribosomal RNA
Source: RNAcentral
AUACGGAGGGUGCAAGCGUUAUUCGGAAUCACUGGGCGUAAAGGACGCGUAGGCGGGUUGGCAAGUCAGAUGUGAAAUCCUACAGCUGAACUGUAGAACUGCAUUUGAAACUGCUAACCUAGAGUAUGGGAGGGGGAGAUGGAAUUAGUGGUGUAGGGGUAAAAUCCGUAGAUAUCACUAGGAAUACCGAAAGCGAAGGCGAUCUCCUGGAACAUAACUGACGCUAAGGCGUGAAAGCGUGGGGAGCAAACAGGAUUAGAAACCCUUGUAGUCC